This is a non-coding RNA of Cucurbita pepo subsp. pepo (vegetable marrow), 359 nucleotides long. NCBI's taxonomy places the organism in Eukaryota, Viridiplantae, Streptophyta, Magnoliopsida, Cucurbitales, Cucurbitaceae. The record is from RefSeq and is a predicted model, not a curated record.
CUCAUUUCUCUGUUUAUCUAAUUCAUCAGUCUUCUAAUGGCGGAUCACUCGACCGCCAUGAUUUUCCCUGAUGAAGCUCUCAGAAUUGUACUGGAAGUCGCUCAACGCCUUCCUUCCAUCACCGUUUCUCUUCACGAUGCUCUUGAGAAGGUCUUGGUCCAGGAUAUUCGCGCUCCGGACCUUUGCCGCCCUAUCCGGCCUCCAUAAAGGAAUGAGAUCAUAUCGUAUUACACGAUUGAGUGGAAGAUGUUCUUGAUUCCAGUGGUGCUGAUGGAGAUUGUCUGUGGAUUUUUCUUUUUGCUUCGCUGUCUAAUUUGAAGAAAUGAUAUCGAUGUUGUGUUAAUGUUUGAUUUGCGAAA